This is a long non-coding RNA of Oreochromis aureus, 325 nucleotides long. RefSeq lists it as uncharacterized. The transcript is spliced from 3 exons. NCBI's taxonomy places the organism in Eukaryota, Metazoa, Chordata, Actinopteri, Cichliformes, Cichlidae. The record is from RefSeq and is a predicted model, not a curated record.
CGCUGCUCUAGUGAUGGAUAGCCCCUUAGAGGUCUUAGCAGAAGUGAUGGGUCAUGGGCCUCAGAGAGCCCAGAGCAGGGUGUGGGAGCAGGAAGACAGAAUAGCGAGGGAAGGCCAAGGAAGCUGAAACAAAUUAGUGAUCUGGAGUCCCAGUCCCUGGUGUUGAGCUGAAAAGGAUGUCUAUAGGAAGUCCUUGGGCCAUCCCAAAAAGCAGUGACAUCAGAGACCAGAAGGGAGGACGUGCGUGUGAAGACAACUUGAAAGCUGACCGUGCUGGGACACUGGUGCUGAAGCAAAGUGCAUCUGUGUGUAAUGGAAAUAAAAU